This 309-nucleotide ribosomal RNA is filed under the name Bacillus subtilis. Its description in RNAcentral is "bacterial SSU rRNA". It matches the Rfam family "Bacterial small subunit ribosomal RNA", at positions 144 to 446 of the family's 1533-position model. Lineage: Bacteria; Bacillati; Bacillota; Bacilli; Caryophanales; Bacillaceae. The record is from RNAcentral.
AACUUCCGGGAAACCGGGGCUAAUACCGGAUGGUUGUUUGAACCGCAUGGUUCAAACAUAAAAGGUGGCUUCGGCUACCACUUACAGAUGGACCCGCGGCGCAUUAGCUAGUUGGUGAGGUAACGGCUCACCAAGGCGACGAUGCGUAGCCGACCUGAGAGGGUGAUCGGCCACACUGGGACUGAGACACGGCCCAGACUCCUACGGGAGGCAGCAGUAGGGAAUCUUCCGCAAUGGACGAAAGUCUGACGGAGCAACGCCGCGUGAGUGAUGAAGGUUUUCGGAUCGUAAAGCUCUGUUGUUAGGGAA